CAUUGUUGGAGAGUUUGAUCCUGGCUCAGGACGAACGCUGGCGGCGUGCUUAACACAUGCAAGUCGAACGAUGAAGCCUUCGGGUGGAUUAGUGGCGAACGGGUGAGUAACACGUGGGCAAUCUGCCCUGUACUUUGGGAUAAGCCUUGGAAACGAGGUCUAAUACCGGAUAUGACUGCGCAUCGCAUGGUGUGUGGUG
RNAcentral lists this ribosomal RNA (199 nucleotides) under Amycolatopsis xylanica. Its description in RNAcentral is "16S rRNA. Bacterial SSU". It matches the Rfam family "Bacterial small subunit ribosomal RNA", at positions 1 to 202 of the family's 1533-position model. The record is from RNAcentral. Lineage: Bacteria; Bacillati; Actinomycetota; Actinomycetes; Pseudonocardiales; Pseudonocardiaceae.